This 1357-nucleotide long non-coding RNA is filed under the name Portunus trituberculatus (swimming crab). RNAcentral's name for it is "uncharacterized LOC123520496, transcript variant X2". The record is from RNAcentral. Lineage: Eukaryota; Metazoa; Arthropoda; Malacostraca; Decapoda; Portunidae.
GGCAGUUGGACGCCUUUACACAAAAUAGCGGCGCCAUUGUCGUUGUGGUACCUGCGGCUCCUGUGCCGUGAUACUCGAGGACUGUGUGACUUGGAUAUAAUCUCCUCUGGUACAGAUCUGGGAGUGACACAUCUGCCUCUUUAGAGAUCUGGGCCUGACAAGCUAAGAUGCAGCUUGACUGCACUGCAAGUUUAUCUGGUACUGAACAGGAUUCUGGGUACCUAUGGUUCUGAAGAUAAGUGGGGUUAGGCUCCACUAAUUUAGGCCCCUUCCUCUGAAAUGUUGAGUGAGAUGCCAAGUCUGCACACAAUCCAACUCUCAGGUAUUAUGGCAUCUACUUCUAGCACUGUUGUGACUGGCUUAGUGGAUGGCUUAAGUCUGUCUAUUCUAAACAAGCUGCUGGGUCUCUGUCUGGGACAAAAAUACCUGUUGUCAUAUCUUGAGGAAAACAAUAGUCUAUCCUUGUGGUAAUUGUGUUGAUCAACAGAAAACCAGUAUCAUACACAUAAAAUGAAUAUUUCAUCAAUAAGCUACACUGUUUUGAACACUUCCUCAGAGAAAGACCCAGUGGCCAGUUCAGAAUAGACAGACUAUAGUGUGCAGGUUUUUUUUAUGUUAGGCCCUUGGCAGAGGCUGCUGUAGUUUGAGGGCAGGUCUAUGUAUGGCCUCCCUCCCUUGAGAUGUGUGAUGGUGGAUGUUAGUCAGGAGUGUGUGGGAUCAGAGUUGUUUCCAUUCAGUAGUUUGGAAGAUUUUCUGGAUGAGGGGAUCUCCACAAGUAGAUAUGUUUUCCUUUGUCCUGACUCAGUGUCUGCCCCUGUAUGUGUCACCUCUAAUGGAUCAGGGAGUGUAUAGACAUGAUGCUUUCCCUCUCCAGUGAAUAGACGUAGACCUGUACGCCUUUCUCCCCUUCACUGAGAUCCCAUUGUGUUUUAUUGAGGGUUUGGGAGAGUGAAGAUGGCAUCAGUGUUGCAACAGGCAGACACUCUUCCAGUUCUCACAAGAUAUUUUGACAUUAUGCAUGGAGACUUCUCAGUGUCUCUCCAGAGAAAGCAAUUUGCACUGGUUUGAGUCAUAAGGUUUAGAUACAUGUUCUCCUUGUGCUGAAAUUGGCAGUAAUUUUUCUUGUAUUUCUUUAGGAUGUUAGGCCCUUGUCUGUGUCAGCAAUUAGGGGAACAUAUUUCCAUUAGCAGACCAAUCCUAAAAAGGACCUUAGUGAAGAUCUUACUUUCUUCAAAUAUGUGACACUCGGUAAUAAACUGUACACACACACAGACGUGUGUGUAUCUGUAUGUAUUUACCUAGUUGUAUAUCACAAGGUUCAAGCAGGGCUCAUAGUGACCUGUCUCCAUACCUAAUU